Molecule: long non-coding RNA, 123 nt
Organism: Cervus elaphus (red deer)
Lineage: Eukaryota; Metazoa; Chordata; Mammalia; Artiodactyla; Cervidae
Exons: 3
Source: RefSeq, a predicted model, not a curated record
UGCUCUUCCGAUCUGAAAACCCCACAAAAUCAUGCAAAUCAAGAGGUUCAAAUCUUCAUGUUCACUUUAAGAACACUCGUGAAACUGCCCAGGCCAUAAAGGGUAUGCAUAUCUGAAAAGCCA